CUCGGCCCCCGCUUCCGCCGCCGCUCCCUCUCCGGCAUCUUCGGGAGCCUCGGGGUCUCCGGGCUCUCCGGUUAGUGACAUCGCCUCAGGCUGGGUUUCUGCAAAGGACAAGAUCCACACAGAAAGAUCAGGGCGUCGGAGCCCGGGGCUGUGGGAAGGAGGGGGUGAGGGACAGCCUCUGCGGGGUGACCGGACCGCUCCCCUCGCCCGGGGACCUUGGUCUCUGGGGCUCGACGCCGGCGCCUGUCCCAAUGGGCACGGACCUUGCGACACUUCCCGCUCUUCGUCGACGCCCAGGCUGAGGAAGCCGGUGCCCUCGUCCUGGUCUGGGCCCGGAGGCUCCAUAUCCCUGUUGCCGUUUGGCACAGAUUCCCCGUCAGACCCCGCGGGCUCCAUGGGGGACGCAGAGAGCGGUGGCCUGCCGACCGGCUUCCGCCAAACGGUCCUGGCGUUGUCAGGUUCCGGGAAGUCUGAGUAGCCGCCCUCCCUAUAUAUACCCCCCACCCCCCGCUGCGGCGGGGGUGGGGGGGUGCUCGCCGAGGUGCGCAUGCGGCUCGGGCUCGGGCCCCAAGCCUGCCUGUGCACUUGCGAGGGUACUCCCGGAGGGAGCACUUGGCCUAGGGCAUCCGAGCCGUCGCGGCCUAGCUAGAGAGGCUGAGUCUUCCAGUCGGCGCUGGGCUCACACGCCCCAGACUGGGGGCCUGUGCCCCCCAGGGAAAGUCGCCGCGCUGGAUCGUGCCAGCCCGUGUGGGCAGGGGAAGACGCAGAGCCCACCCUAGCUCUGGAGACCCCACCGAGGGCUUGGGAGAAGGUCCCUGGCCAGCCCUGCGAAUCCAGCAGCCGCCACUAGGCAGGAAAUAGUCAUCCGAGGACUGUGAUGGGCUCUGAGGUGGCACAGUCUGAGGCUUUUCGGGGAGACGACCCAAGUCAGAGCCCGCCACACCCCCGGCUCCCCGGGAACGGGAGCUGGUGCUGGGGUCUUCUGAGCGUGUCUGGUGCCCAGAUGCACCGUGCAGAUGAAACCAUGCUUGCCCCUUCACAGGGGCCUGGGCCUCCGGGAUUUUAGUCCCGAAGCCACACUUCAUGUCGGGGCUGCGAACCUGCACGGGGCUUAGCCCCUUCCAAGUCGGCUCAAACUGGACAGCCCUCCCACGGGUUGGGGUUUUGUUCAGUUUUCCUCGUUCAAACGUUGCUCUUCUCAUCGCCACCAUGGAUGCCAAAACCCCUUCGGGCACAGCGUCUAUACCUCCGCCUCGAGACUUCUCUCUACAAGCAUGCAUGUUCCUUAUGGUGGGACCCUUUGGAUCUGGGUCAUUACCCACUUCCUGGCCUUUGCCCCCCCCCCCCCCCCCCCCCCGCCCGCCCCGACACUCUCCUCCCCUGGGUUUUCCAUGAAAUAUCUUCCUGAGCCCUUGUUGAGGAAUAGAUGAAUUUUAUUUCUUGCUUGUUGUUUUUCUUUUCCGUUCUUGUUUUUGUUUCUUCUAGCGAGGAUACAUCCUUAUUGGUUGGAGAGUUGAGUUGAGCAAGUUUUUGGUUUCUCCAGAAGUGAAUUUUACAUCCAAAGAAGAAAACCCUAAGCAUAUACUGAGCUCAGCCUGAUGCUCCUAGGCCCGGGUCCUGUGCUGGACAAUGUCCCUGAAGGACCCCGCGAUCACCGCACAGCCGAGCUCACCACUCUAGUUGAAAUCCGAAGCUACAGCAUUCCCACGGGCUCCCGAGGGCAUCGUGGGCCCAAGGUACCUCAGCCACCGCGCCUGAGGGGGGAGAAGUGCCCCUGCCUCGUGGUCCUGGAGGAUGGCUCAGACACCCACCGCAGGUUUGGGGACCAGUCCCUUUUCACAGGUGUGGUAAGGGAUGGAGACUGCACUACCCCCUCCUGACUCGAACCAAAUGUCUCCUCCUGGGCUUUGGUCUUGUUGAGUGCCGCCGGCCCCCGACCGGCACCCCCUGGCCAGGUAGCCCGGGCACAAUUUUGACCCGAGUCUACUUAUUGUGUGAGAGACCUCAAGGGCUUCCGUCCUGUGCCUGUUGGCCUCCCUGCGGUCUCCGCGUGCCCUUUCCUGCCUCCGUCUCCACGGAGCGGUCCUGUCUGCUGCCCUUCAGUCUCUCGUGGGACCCUCGGCCUCUCUCGCCCUACCUGGGCAUCAGGUGUGCUAGCAUUUACUUACACCGUUUCCUUCCAUCACUUCACCCUUGGCACACCUUAGGAAGCAAAUGAAACCUCGUCCUUAGCAAAAAUAGCCCCGAGUCACGGUUCCUUGGGUCCCGCUCAUCGGAGGGGGGCUCUGGAGCCAGAGGGAUGCCGGCGGCCUCCGGCUCGCUCAUCCCUUGCGAGCUGGCGGGGCUGCGGAUCUGCUUGGUCUCACUCUGCCCUGGUUUCCUCGUCUGUAAGAGGAGAGCAACGACCUCGGCAGCGUGCUGCCGGAGUGACUGAGAUGACACACAGGAACUAUGGCUGAUGGCCCUGCCCUGCCCUCCCCCAUCUGGACUGCAGCCCGUCUUGUGUUGCUUUACUCACAGGCGCCAUGAGAGCAGAGAGCCGCUGGUUCGUCGCCGGCGGUCGGUCGGCAACGAGGACAGAUCGUGAUCUUGUGACCUAAGGGCCCUCUGCCAGGCAGUGCGGGGAAGGAGUCCCGUCCAGACCCAGCCGUCCUGGCGCCCUGGUUCUCCCAGCCCACGGGAGAGACAGAAGCUGGAAGUGAUGGAGUCCCAGCAGCACUAACGCGCUCUGCGACCCAGGGCAGCCAGGGGUGCCUGAGGAAUGUCACACAUAUUACUGAGAGGAGUGGGUAGACAGGAGGUGCAAGGUGCCAGCUUUUGCUUUGUCCUCAGCCAGCCUUCUGCUCCCUCAUCAGUCAACACUAGGAAAUGCUUUUUGGUUUCAAGAUCAUCUGGUGAGAAUGGCAAUGGGCAUGUCUGCACAGGAACAUUCUUGAAUUUCCCUCACUCCCAGCAAGGCCUGAGGUCUCUGGGUGACAGUAACAUCCCCUUUGUGGAAGCCUGACAUUGCAGCCACUUCUCUGACAUCUGUCACUCACGAGUGAGAAAGAUAGGAAGAAGGAAUAAAAUAUUCAUGGCCACCGUGGCCAAGAGCAUAUGCUUUCCCAAGAAAACAGAGCGUUCCACACUGGGAACAUACAAGCACUGUGAAACUGGUCUCUGAUCAACUCCCAUGAAGGGAAACUCUGAUGUGACCAGGACACCUGGUCUGUAGUUUCUGCAAUCACUUCACAUGACCGUGGCGGCCACAAUUGAUCGCUUUCUACACAGAACUCCAUGAAACUAGCCUCGCAUUGCUACAGAUUCAUCAAAAACAAAGGUGGAACUGAGAAAAAAGUAAUCCUUUAAAAAAAAAAAAGUGGGCCUGUGCUCGCUUCAGCGGCAUGUACAUUAAAAUUGGAACAAUACAGAGACGGUGAGCACGGUCCCUGCAUAAGGGUGAGGUGCAAAUUCGUGAAGCAUUCUGUAUUUUAAAGAACAAAAAAAAAAGUAGGCCUGGCUUCUUCACUUCACCAACCUUUCCUUGUUUUUCUCUACACUGACAUCUGUACACAGAGAAGCCAGCAGGAACAAAGCAAAGGUAUGCUGCUUCUUCUCAAUGAGGGAUUAUUCUAGAACACUGCUCAGGAGACGUCUCCUUACUCUUGAUUUGAGCAGCAGUAAACCAACUGGUCCCCUUUCAGUGUUGAACAACAGGAAUUGGGUUCCUCUCAAGGAUGUUGAAGGUGACAAAAUACUUUUAAAGGCGUCAUGGUCAGCUUCUGAGCUGGAGAAAGAUCGAUAAAAUGCUGUCCUGGGCCGGUGUGGUGGGUAGGGGAGUGGUGGGGAUGGAAGAAAAGGGAGAAGAGCCUCUUUCUGGCCUUGAUGGAAUCUCUUCUCAUUUUUCUGCUGAAGCAACAGAACCUGUGUGCCAGAAUGGCUUCUAUUCCCCAGUCUCCUCCACAAAAAGGGAGGGUCGUGAACGGAAUUUGAAACCUACUGGUUCGGUGUUUGGUAGCCAUCUUCCCCUGAAUCCCUGUGAGGAGCUUCUUAAGAGGUUUCCCCAGAGUCCAGUGUUCAGCCCGAACAUGUCAGCAUGAGUGGAGCUAGUCUCCGGAAAUGACACUGUCCUCUCACUAGGGACUCACCCCACCCCAUCUUGCACAUAUCUGUGGUCCCAAAGGGGCAAGGUGGGGAUAAAGGUGGGCCGAGGGAUAGAAGAGAAUAUAUGGGUCAGGGCAAGCUCAUCAUGGGUCCUUGGUGAGCUUCUGUGACGUGCAGGGCGCACACAGAGCGAUUCCGGGAUGUAGCCUCGUGAAAGGAAACCUUUGUGGAGGCCAAGAAAAACAAGGCUGUACCCACCUCGAGUCUAACCCUCGAGUCUGACAUAAGUCAGCCAUCUUGACAAAGCAAAAGCUGGCACCUUGCACCCCCUCUCCACCCACUCCCCUCCCCUCGGUAGUAUGUGUGAACAAAUAGUUAACUUGCAGAGAUCGCGAUCCUGCAAGACAGGAGUCUCCCUCAGUUUACAAAUGUCCCAGUGCUAAAUCUCACUAGCAAGGACGCUUGAUAGGAGGAAUGUGACAUUCCACCAGGAAACUCCCAGCGGUCUUCCUGUUAGUGCCUCAUUAGAGGG
Long non-coding RNA from Lutra lutra (Eurasian river otter), 4615 nucleotides. RefSeq lists it as uncharacterized. The record is from RefSeq and is a predicted model, not a curated record. Lineage: Eukaryota; Metazoa; Chordata; Mammalia; Carnivora; Mustelidae. The transcript has 5 exons.